UUAAGUUCAGCGGGUAGUCCUACCUGAUUUGAGGUCAAAAUUGUCAUAAAUUGUCCAAGCUAAUGGACCGUUAGCAGCAGCGAACAGCGCGACAUCCAAUGGCGUAGAUAGUUAUCACACCAAUGGCCAUCAAGGUCACCGCUAAUGCAUUUCAGGGGAGCUGACUCUGUGAAGAGCCUGCAGAAAUCCCCCACAUCCAA
Molecule: unclassified non-coding RNA, 200 nt
Filed under: Crepidotus sp.
Lineage: Eukaryota; Fungi; Basidiomycota; Agaricomycetes; Agaricales; Crepidotaceae
Description: partial internal transcribed spacer 2
Source: RNAcentral